Molecule: ribosomal RNA, 550 nt
Filed under: uncultured bacterium
Lineage: Bacteria
Description: bacterial SSU rRNA
Rfam family: Bacterial small subunit ribosomal RNA
Source: RNAcentral
UAGGGAAUCUUCGGCAAUGGGGGCAACCCUGACCGAGCAACGCCGCGUGAGUGAAGAGGGUUUUCGGAUCGUAAAGCUCUGUUGUAAGAGAAGAACGAGUGUGAGAGUGGAAAGUUCACACUGUGACGGUAUCUUACCAGAAAGGGACGGCUAACUACGUGCCAGCAGCCGCGGUAAUACGUAGGUCCCGAGCGUUGUCCGGAUUUAUUGGGCGUAAAGCGAGCGCAGGCGGUUAGAUAAGUCUGAAGUUAAAGGCUGUGGCUUAACCAUAGUACGCUUUGGAAACUGUUUAACUUGAGUGCAAGAGGGGAGAGUGGAAUUCCAUGUGUAGCGGUGAAAUGCGUAGAUAUAUGGAGGAACACCGGUGGCGAAAGCGGCUCUCUGGCUUGUAACUGACGCUGAGGCUCGAAAGCGUGGGGAGCAAACAGGAUUAGAUACCCUGGUAGUCCACGCCGUAAACGAUGAGUGCUAGGUGUUAGACCCUUUCCGGGGUUUAGUGCCGCAGCUAACGCAUUAAGCACUCCGCCUGGGGAGUACGACCGCAAGGUUG